GAUGAACGCUGGCGGCGUGCCUAAUACAUGCAAGUCGAGCGAACAGACGAGGAGCUUGCUCCUCUGACGUUAGCGGCGGACGGGUGAGUAACACGUGGAUAACCUACCUAUAAGACUGGGAUAACUUCGGGAAACCGGAGCUACUACCGGAUAAUAUAUUGAACCGCAUGGUUCAAUAGUUAAAGACGGUUUUGCUGUCACUUAUAGAUGGUUCCGCGCCGCAUUAGCUAGUUGGUAAGGUAACGGCUUACCAAGGCAACGAUGCGUAGCCGACCUGAGAGGAUGAUCGGCCACACUGGAACUGAGACACGGUCCAGACUCCUACGGGAGGCAGCAGUAGGGAAUCUUCCGCAAUGGGCGAAAGCCUGACGGAGCAACGCCGCGUGAGUGAUGAAGGUCUUCGGAUCGUAAAACUCUGUUAUUAGGGAAGAACAAAUGUGUAAGUAACUAUGCACGUCUUGACGGUACCUAAUCAGAAAGCCACGGCUAACUACGUG
Molecule: ribosomal RNA, 497 nt
Filed under: uncultured bacterium
Lineage: Bacteria
Description: partial 16S ribosomal RNA
Rfam family: Bacterial small subunit ribosomal RNA
Source: RNAcentral